CAAAGUCUAUCUGCUAUCGCGGCCUAUGACAAAGAUAUCGAGCUGACUCCUGCUCAUCGACUCGGAUGACCUCGUUCCUGAGUUCACCUUGAGCCCCACUCGUGCCAUGGCUGAACGUGUUGCUACCUUCGCGCUCCUCUGCUGAUGGCACCGUCCAGGCACACGGGACAUCGCUGCUAAUCCUGCCCUACUGUUGCUUCCCAAAGUCUAUCUGCUAUCGCGGCCUAUGACAAGGAUAUCGAGCUGACUCCUGCUCAUCGACUCUGAUGACCUCGUUCCUGAGCUCACCUUGAGCCCCACUCGUGCCAUGGCUGAACGUGUUGCUACCUUCGCGCUCCUCUGCUGAUGGCACCGUCCAGGCACACGGGACAUCGCUGCUAAUCCUGCCCUACUGUUGCUUCCCAAAGUCUAUCUGCUAUCGCGGCCUAUGACAAGGAUAUCGAGCUGACUCCUGCUCAUCGACUCUGAUGACCUCGUUCCUGAGUUCACCUUGAUCCCCACUCGUCCCAUGGCUGAACGUGUUGCUACCUUUGCGCUCCUCUGAUGAUGGCACCGUGCAGGCACACGGAAGAUAACCCUCCUGGCAUUUCCACAAGAGCGACUACGUCCCACCUGAUCCUGCUACCGG
Long non-coding RNA from Rhipicephalus sanguineus (brown dog tick), 628 nucleotides. RefSeq lists it as uncharacterized. Lineage: Eukaryota; Metazoa; Arthropoda; Arachnida; Ixodida; Ixodidae. The transcript is spliced from 3 exons. The record is from RefSeq and is a predicted model, not a curated record.